AUAAUAAUAAUAAUAAUAAAAGCAAGAUGAAUUCAUGACUGACCUUUAAGAGAUGAAAGAACAAUCUGCCUAACAUUUGCAUAGUCUAACUUAUCACCCAUUUUAUUACGAUUUAGCAGCCCAGAUGAGCAUAUGUGGAUAUACCUAUUCUUUUUUUAUCUCCAUAUAUGAGUACUCGACUAUGGAAACUGAAUUUAUCAUACACAAUAAUGGCAUGCAUAACUAGCUGCAGAAUUUUAUUUAUUUUUUAAAAUAUUAAAAGAUAUACGUUAAAAAAAAAUCAAAAUUAGUGAACUUAUCAAUGAUUAUUUUUAAUUUCAUUUUGUGCAGUACUAUUUUUUUAUGCAAGAGAUUAAAAAAAUCUAUUAUUUAGAAUCAAUUCACAAUAUUUGGAUUUAAAGCUAAAUUAAUGAAAAUGAAUUUAGCCUAAAUAGAAAAAAUACGAUUUUG
Molecule: unclassified non-coding RNA, 450 nt
Filed under: Hevea brasiliensis (rubber tree)
Lineage: Eukaryota; Viridiplantae; Streptophyta; Magnoliopsida; Malpighiales; Euphorbiaceae
Source: RNAcentral